GGCCUUCCAGACCAGUGGCUCUCUCUGAGGACCCAGCAUCAGUGAUCCUCCAGCGGGCUGCAAGAUAACUUCAAAUUAACUUGAAUAUAACCAUAUAAUCAUUACUUUUAUGAUUAAUAUGUUAAAAUAAAUUGCUUCGGAUCAGCCCAAGCUAUUUCUCAUCGCGAAAUACCCAACCGUUGCAGGAGUAUUUAAUACGCAAACUACAGCUCUCAUUUGGAUAAAGCAAACCAGAGUCACUGAUGAUGUUUAGAUAGAUGAUGACAGUAAGGUAAAGACCAUAACAGUGACAUACAGGAGCCGUACAUUAUGUCCAAACCGUGUAUGUGCGCUCUCCGUGCACUGAUCACUAUAACAUCAUAUUUCUGCAUGAUCCCAGUUCAAUAUAUUCAUGUAAAUGUCAAAAUAUAGUACUAUGCAUGUUUUAUAAUGGAUACUCCCCCCGAAGAAGCAUGUUUUCAAGGAGUUUGCGAGGAUCGGUGGUGUUAAUGUACAUAUGGGCAUCAGUCCUCAAUGGUCAUCGAGUUUCCACAGAUUCACAAUGGUUUUAUUUUUCAUAUAAAAUGUACAUUUAGAAAGCAUUUUGGUGUAUUCUAUUGGUUGUAUUAGAUUUUGCUUUAUUUCACAUCACAGCUAUUCAUGCUCUAUUGCCCUGUUUCACAGACAAGGCUUACGGCUAGUCCCAGACUAAAAUUAAUGUUUGAGUCUCAACUGACAAUAACUUGCCCUCACAUAUCUUUAAAGGUGUCAGUGCCAUUGUUUUGUCUCAAGACGCACACCAGUAAUGUUUUUUUCUAAUGCAUUUUUAUAAAAGCGCAUUAAAUAUCCUAAUUUAACUAAGGCAUAUGUCACGGGGUGACGAAAGAGAAGCGGAACUAAGUCCCGUUGGAAUUGUGUUCCCCCCGGGACGGUGUCGCGGUAACACCGGUCCACUUCCGGGUUGCGCCCGAUGUCACAAUAACAACGCUAAUGAUAGAUUGACAUCUGGUGUGGGGAGUUUGACGUGGCGAUCUGUGAGAGGAUUAUGGAGGCGGAGUAACCACAUAAAAAGAGAAGUGCAGAGACCAAAAGGGAGGGGAAUUUCUGGGACGUUUGGGCUGGCGUGUGGAGGUAUUCGAGGACUAUUGUGGGGUUUCGGCUAUCUGGCUGUGCAACAGUUAUAUCAGCGAUCGAGUGGAGAUAUUCGGGACAGAAAGAGUGUGAGUUCUGGAAAGCAAGUGGAGACCAGGCCGCGCCAUCACUAUCGGAGGGAAGUUAAGAGACCUGAUCUGGGACUUCGAUCAAUUGUAUACAUCUGGACUGGGAGUGAUAACGUGGUGAAGUGGACGGAGCCAUCGUUGGAUCGCAGGAUCCUCUGGGCUGAACGCCGCAUGUGAUGUCCCUAUGAAAGGAGGUGGACACAAGAAUUAUUCUUUUCCCGGUUACAACCGAAGCAUCUCCCAGCCGUAAGCCCCAUUACUUAUUCAAGAACACAUACUUACUGUUGGUUACUUACUCUGCUGUGCAGAUCGCAGGAUCCUCUGGGCUGAACGCCGCAUGUGAUGUCCCUAUGAAAGGAGGUGGACACACGAAUUAUUCCUUUCUCGGUCUUAACUGAAGCAUCUCCCAGCCGUAAGCCCAUCACCCAUUAAAGACUACAUACCUGCUGUCGAUUGCUUACUCUGCUGUGCAGAUCGUAGGAUCCCCUGGGACGAAUGCUGCAUGUGAUGUCCCUAUGAAAAGAGAUUGCAGGAUCCUCUGGGCUGGACGCUGCAUGUGAUGUCCCUGUAAAAGGAGGUGGACACGAGAAUUAUUCCUUUUCCCGGUCUCGACCGAAACAUCCACGAGCUCUACUUACCCGGAUAUCCCCCCCUCAUUCCGGGACGGGUGACAGACUAUCCUGGCUCUUGCCGGCCCCGUACAGGCACGAACUGCCGACGACUCCACGCCUCCCCGGCGUCCGAGGUCUGGCUUCGUUCUGGUCGGGAGACACUGAAGGAACACUGAACUUUUAAAUUGCUUUUAACCAAGUAAAACCUUGUUCAAUUUUUUUAUACUUUCGUCCGUCUGGUUCUUCUGGUACGCUCUCUGAGGUGAUCCUGGGUUUCAGGGGCGGGUGCAGUCCGGCUUGGCCCCCCCGACCUGUGACACAUAGUCCUGGCUCAAGCUAAGAAAUGUCCGUGAAGCCUAUCCCCUGGUUUCACAGACAAGGCUUAAGCCUAGUCCCAGACUAAAGUGUAAAUCUGAGCUGUUUUAACUGAAAGAAACUUGCACUGACUGAUCUUAUAAUAUAUCAGUGCCUUUGUCUCAAGAUGCACACCAGUAAUGUUUUUUUCUAAGGCAUGUUAAUAAAAAUUACUCAGAUGUCUUAAUUGAACUAUGG
Molecule: long non-coding RNA, 2362 nt
Organism: Cyprinus carpio (common carp)
Lineage: Eukaryota; Metazoa; Chordata; Actinopteri; Cypriniformes; Cyprinidae
Source: Ensembl